GUUUUUGUGGCCAAGUGGUUAAGGCGAUGGACUGGAAAGCCAUUGAGGUCUCCCUGCGCAGGUUCAAAUCCUGUUGACAACG
Etheostoma cragini (Arkansas darter) is the source of this 82-nucleotide non-coding RNA. The record is from the annotation of a RefSeq genome assembly. Lineage: Eukaryota; Metazoa; Chordata; Actinopteri; Perciformes; Percidae.